AUUGAACGCUGGCGGCAGGCCUAACACAUGCAGGUCGAGCGGAUGAAGGGAGCUUGCUCCUGGAUUCAGCGGCGGACGGGUGAGUAAUGCCUAGGAAUCUGCCUGGUAGUGGGGGGUAACGUCCGGAAACGGGCGCUAAUACCGCAUACGUCCUGAGGGAGAAAGUGGGGGAUCUUCGGACCUCACGCUAUCAGAUGAGCCUAGGUCGGAUUAGCUAGUUGGUGGGGUAAAGGCCUACCAAGGCGACGAUCCGUAACUGGUCUGAGAGGAUGACCAGUCACACUGGAACUGAGACACGGUCCAGACUCCUACGGGAGGCAGCAGUGGGGAAUAUUGGACAAUGGGCGAAAGCCUGAUCCAGCCAUGCCGCGUGUGUGAAGAAGGUCUUCGGAUUGUAAAGCACUUUAAGUUGGGAGGAAGGGCAGUAAGUUAAUACCUUGCUGUUUUGACGUUACCAACAGAAUAAGCACCGGCUAACUUCGUG
RNAcentral lists this ribosomal RNA (484 nucleotides) under uncultured bacterium. RNAcentral describes it as "partial 16S ribosomal RNA". It matches the Rfam family "Bacterial small subunit ribosomal RNA", at positions 30 to 507 of the family's 1533-position model. The record is from RNAcentral.